UGGUCAGAAUCGAGAUGGUUUCGAUCAUGGAAAGACACCAGUAAGUGGGGUUGCUGGUUUAAUCUUUCAGUAGCCCAAAGGGGUGAGUUGAGAUCGAUCCAGAGUAUUGAUAAAUGACUCUCACAGUUGCUGCAUCUGGAGGCAGUUACAGAGAAGAGGGGAGAGAAAGAUUUGAAACAGAAGAAACCAAGUGACAAAGAGGUCACUAUUUGGACUUUCUCCAUGUAGCCCGUAAGGGAUUCUUUUGAAGACCUUGACCUCGGUUCUUCGGUUCUUUGCGGGAAUGGGACCCGUUCUCGGGGUUUUAGGACUGGCUGCGUUCGGCAUACCAAAGGCUCAGUCUGAGAGGUGGCCUCGUGUUUGGAAGCCUAAGAUCUCAGAGCUCUGGAGACGGGUGGAUCGAGGGUCGCUGUCAAGGCAGGAGACUUGUGUUGUUGGGGAGGCCAGAAAGUCUUUCGCUGUGGGCCUGAAGACCCAAGAUCUUUGCGAUCUUUAGGCAUAGAGCUUGUAAAAAGAGAUGAAACUGACUUUUUAAUAUCAUAAACCAGCAGGUUGUUGUUAUGUCUCCCACUCGCUGUGAAAAUGGAGGACACCUCCUUCUCUGGAUCUCUUUAUUGCUAAUUGCCGACGGGACAUCAACCAUCUCGACUUCACACCAUGUUCCAAUUCCAACCUUACUCCUUCCAAACGCUCUGUUCUCCGCUCCCUCCGCACCAAUCCCAACCUUACUAUAAAACCCGCUGAUAAGGGGGGAACUGUUGUAGUCUGGCGUACUGACCUCUACCUGGCUGAGGCACAACGACAACUCUCUGAUACCUCCUCUUAUUUACCCCUUGAUCAUGACCCCACGAAGGAGCACCAGGCCACUGUCCCCUAUACCAUCACCAAUCUUAUCAGCGCUGGGGAUCUCCCAUCCACUGACACCAACCUCAUAGUUCCCACACCCCGCAUUUCACGUUUCUACCUCCUACCCAAGAUCCACAAACCUGCCUGUCCAGGUAGACCCAUUGUCUCAGCUUGCUCCUGCCCCACCGAACUCAUUUCUGCAUACCUUGUUCAAUCCCUUCCCACCUAAGUUUGUGACACUUUUCAUGCUUUGAAUUUUUUCAAGGAUUUUAAGUUCCCUGGCCCCCACCGCCUUAUUUUCACCAUGGACGUCCAGUCCCUAUAUACCUCCAUAUCCCACCAGGAAGGUCUCAAAGCUCUCUGCUUCUUUUUGGAUUCCAGACCUAACCAAUUCCCCUCUACCACCACUCUCCUCCGACUAGCUGAAUUAGUUCUUACUCUCAAUAAUUUCUCCUUUGGCUCCUCCUACUUCCUCCAAACCAAAGGUGUAGCCAUGGGCACCCGCAUGGGUUCUGGUUAUGUCUGCCUUUUUGUUGGCUUUGUGGAACAGUCCAUGUUCCAAGCCUAUACGGGUAUCCGUCUUCCUUCGCUACAUCGAUGACUGCAUUGGCACUGCCUCCUGCACACAUGCUGAGCUCGUUGACUUCAUUAACUUUGCCUCCAACUUUCACCCUGCCCUCAAAUUUACCUGGUCUAUUUCUGACAUCUCCGUCCCCUUUCUUGAUCUGUCUGUCUCCAUCUUUGGAGACGACCUAUCUACUGAUAGCUAAUAUAAGCCUACAGACUCUCACAACUACCUGGACUAUUCCUCUUCCCACCCUCUCUAGCAAAAAUGCUACCACCUUCUCAGAAUUCCUCCGCCUCUGCCGCAUCUGCUCUCAGGAUGAUGCUUUUCAUUCCAGGAUGAAGGAGAUGUCUUCCUUUUUUAAACAAAGGGGCUUCCCUUCUUCCACCAUCAACUCUGUUCUCAAACGCAUCUCUCCCAUUUCCUGCACAUCUGCCCUCACCCCAUCUGCCUGCCACCCCACUCGGGAUAGGGUUCCCCUUGUCCUUACCUACAACCCCACCAGCCUCCAAGUCCAACGUAUAAUUCUGCGUAACUUCUGCCACCUCCAUACGGGAUCCCACAUCAAGCACAUCUUUCCCUGCAGAAAGCCGGGUGGGGGGGGGGGGGGGGGAGGGAUCACUCCCUACGCGACUCCCUUGUCCAUUCAUCCCCCCCAUCCCUUCCCACCGAUCUCUCUCCUGGCACUUAUCCUUGCAAGUGGAACAAAUGCUACACCUGCCCUUACACUUCCUCCCUCACCACCAUUCAGGGCCCCAGACAGUCCUUCCAGGUGAAGCAACACUUCACCUGUGAGUUGGUUGGUGUGGUAUACUGCAUCUGGUGCUCCUGGUGUGGCCUUCUAUAUAUUGGUGAGACCCGACGCAGACUGGGAGACCAUUUCAUUGAACACCUACAUUCUGUCCGCCAGAGAAAGCAGGAUCUCCCAGUGGCCACACAUUUUAAUUCCAUGUCCCAUUCCCAUUCUGAUAUGUCUAUCCAUGGCCUCCUCUACUGUCAAGAUGAAACCACACUCAGGUUGGAGGAACAAUACCUUAUAUACUAGCUGGGCAGCCUUCAACCUGAUGGCAUGAACAUUGACUUCUCUAACUUCUGUUAAUGCCCUUACCCUUCUUACCCCAUCCCUGAUAUAUUUAGUUUUUUUUCUCUCUCUGCCCAUCACGCUGCCUGUUCUCCAUCUCCCUCUGGUGCUGCCUUCCCCCUUUCUUUCUCCAUAGGCCUCCCGUCCCAUGAUCCUUUCUCUUCUCUAGCUCUGUAUCCCUUUUGCCAAUCACCUGUCUGGCUCUCAGCUUCACCCCACCCCCUCUGGUCUUCAAUCAUUUUGCAUUUUCCCCUCCCCCUCCUACUUGCAAAUCUCUUACUAUCUUUCCUUUCAGUUCGUCCUGACAAAGGGUCUCAGCCUGAAAUAUCAACAGUGCUUCUCCCUAUAGAUGCUGCCUAGCCUGCUGUGUUCCACCAGCAUUUUGUGUGUUGCUUGAAUUUCCAGCAACUGCAGACUUCCUUGUGUUUGCUGUGGACACCUCCUUCUCCCCUAUUAGGGAGACAGAGAACUGUUGCCGAUUGCCAGAUGAAUUGCAAUAGGCUUUGGGGUAACUGCAAGUCUGUUUCUUUGCUAUUGCCUAGCUCAUACUUGUGCUCAGUAGCGGGUGCACUUUUUUUUGCUGGGAGGGGAGGGAGGAUCGUUGCUUGCUGUUGCUUAUGCACGGGAGCGGGGAACUGGAGGAGGACUUUGGAGCUCUCAUGUUUAACUUUCGUUCAUUCUUUGGGGCACUUCUCUGUUUUUGUGGAUGUUUUGCAAAGAAAAAUCAUUCAGGAUGUAUAUUGUAUACAUUUUUCUGACAUUAAAUUGAACCUUCGAACCUUU
This is a long non-coding RNA of Hypanus sabinus (Atlantic stingray), 3275 nucleotides long. RefSeq lists it as uncharacterized. The record is from RefSeq and is a predicted model, not a curated record. The transcript has 2 exons. Lineage: Eukaryota; Metazoa; Chordata; Chondrichthyes; Myliobatiformes; Dasyatidae.